Molecule: ribosomal RNA, 466 nt
Filed under: uncultured bacterium
Lineage: Bacteria
Description: partial 16S ribosomal RNA
Rfam family: Bacterial small subunit ribosomal RNA
Source: RNAcentral
GAUGAACGCUGGCGGCGUGCUUAACACAUGCAAGUCGAACGAUGAAGCCCAGCUUGCUGGGUGGAUUAGUGGCGAACGGGUGAGUAACACGUGAGUAACCUGCCCUUGAUUCUGGGAUAAGCCUGGGAAACUGGGCCUAAUACUGGAUAUGACUUCUCAUCGCAUGGUGGGGGCUGGAAAGAUUUAUUGGUCUUGGAUGGACUCGCGGCCUAUCAGCUUGUUGGUGAGGUAAUGGCUCACCAAGGCGACGACGGGUAGCCGGCCUGAGAGGGUGACCGGCCACACUGGGACUGAGACACGGCCCAGACUCCUACGGGAGGCAGCAGUGGGGAAUAUUGCACAAUGGGCGCAAGCCUGAUGCAGCGACGCCGCGUGAGGGAUGACGGCCUUCGGGUUGUAAACCUCUUUCAGUAGGGAAGAAGCGAGAGUGACGGUACCUGCAGAAGAAGCGCCGGCUAACUACGUG